Molecule: ribosomal RNA, 461 nt
Filed under: uncultured Bacteroidota bacterium
Lineage: Bacteria; Pseudomonadati; Bacteroidota
Description: bacterial SSU rRNA
Rfam family: Bacterial small subunit ribosomal RNA
Source: RNAcentral
GCAGUCGAAACGGCAGCAAUAUUAAAUUUAUUUAGUAGAUGGCGAGUGGCGCACGGGUGAGUAACGCGUACACAACCUACCCUCGAGAGGGGUAUAGCCCUGGGAAACUGGGAAUAAUACCGCAUAAUGUUUAUGAUGUGCAUGCAUUAUAAAUUAAAGUUGAGGCGCUCGAGGAUGGGUGUGCGUUCCAUUAGCUAGUUGGUGAGGUAAAGGCUCACCAAGGCGACGAUGGGUAGGGGGCGUGAGAGCGUGAUCCCCCACACGGGUACUGAGACACGGACCCGACUCCUACGGGAGGCAGCAGUAAGGAAUAUUGGACAAUGGGCGGAAGCCUGAUCCAGCCAUCCCGCGUGCAGGAUUGACAGCCCUAUGGGUUGUAAACUGCUUUUAUAAUGGAAGAAACCCCCCGACGUGUCGGGGGCUGACGGUACAUUAAGAAUAAGCACCGGCUAACUCCGUGC